This 877-nucleotide ribosomal RNA is filed under the name Enterobacter sp. HPC113. Its description in RNAcentral is "partial 16S ribosomal RNA". It matches the Rfam family "Bacterial small subunit ribosomal RNA", at positions 26 to 915 of the family's 1533-position model. The record is from RNAcentral. Lineage: Bacteria; Pseudomonadati; Pseudomonadota; Gammaproteobacteria; Enterobacterales; Enterobacteriaceae.
CGAUGGACGCUGGCGGCAGGCCUAACACAUGCAAGUCGAGCGGUAGCGAAGGAGCUUGGUCCUUUUUCCCGAGAGGGGGACAGGUGAGUAUUGUGUGGGAAACUGCGUGAGGUGGGGGGAUAUCUCCUGUGAACAGGGUCUCUUACCCCGCAUCGCCUCACGAGACCAAAGGGGGACCUUUUGGCCCCUUUUCCCCUCAUGUGCCCCCAUGGGGUUUUCUCUUAUGUGGGGGGACGGCUCUCCUCUGCGACAAUACCCCUCUGGGGUGAGAGGAUAACACCCCCCACUGUGACUCUGACACGGGCCCCACACCCCCAGGGGGGGCCACUGGGGAAAAUUUUGCACUGGGGGCAAACCUCUUAUGCCCCUGCGCCGCGUGUAAAAAAAACGCUCUCGUUUUAAAAAACUCUCUCCGGGGAGAAGAGGGUUGUGGUUAUUAAACUCUCCGAUUGUGACUUCCCCCACAAAAAACACCCCGUAUCUCUCUGCGCCCACCCCCGGUAAUAUACAGAGGGCGCGCGUUUUUCUCAAUUACUGUGGGUAAACGCACACGCGCGGUCUGUCUCGUGUCAUAUGUAAUCCCCCCGCUCACCUCGGAACUGUGUUCUAAACUGUGGGGGUAUAGUCUUGUGUAGGGGGGUGUAAUCCCCGGGUGUCGCUGAAAUGUGUAUAGAUCUGGGGAAUACCCGGGGGGCAGGGGGCCCCUGUGAAAAAACUGACACUCUCGGGCGAAAAGGGGGGGCACACAGGAUAUAUACCCCGGGAUACCCCACGCUAAAAAAUUUUACAUUGGAUUGUGCCUGAGAGGUUGUUCUCGGAUAUACCGUUAUACACCCCCCGUGGGGACGCCGCCAGGUUUAAAUCAAAGAGUUUCCCG